Molecule: ribosomal RNA, 305 nt
Filed under: uncultured bacterium
Lineage: Bacteria
Description: bacterial SSU rRNA
Rfam family: Bacterial small subunit ribosomal RNA
Source: RNAcentral
AUUUCUUACGGGGGGCAGCAGCGAGGAAUAUUGGUCAAUGGGCGAGAGCCUGAACCAGCCAAGUCGCGUGAAGGAUGACGGCCCUACGGGUUGUAAACUUCUUUUGUCAGGGAGCAAUUGAGUCCACGUGUGGGCUUAGCGAGAGUACCUGAAGAAAAAGCAUCGGCUAACUCCGCGCCAGCAGCCGCGGUAAUACGGAGGAUGCGAGCGUUAUCCGGAUUUAUUGGGUUUAAAGGGUGCGUAGGCGGAAUACCAAGUCAGCGGUAAAAAUUCGGGGCUCAACCCCGUCGUGCCGUUGAAACUGA